CAGUAGCCGCGGUAAAACGUAGGGUGCAAGCGUUAAUCGGAAUUACUGGGCGUAAAGCGUGCGCAGGCGGUUUGUUAAGACAGAUGUGAAAUCCCCGGGCUCAACCUGGGAACUGCAUUUGUGACUGGCAAGCUAGAGUAUGGCAGAGGGGGGUGGAAUUCCGCGUGUAGCAGUGAAAUGCGUAGAUAUGCGGAGGAACACCGAUGGCGAAGGCAGCCCCCUGGGCCAAUACUGACGCUCAUGCACGAAAGCGUGGGGAGCAAACAGGAUUAGAUACCCGUGUAGUCCCUGUCUCUUAUAC
Molecule: ribosomal RNA, 301 nt
Filed under: uncultured bacterium
Lineage: Bacteria
Description: partial 16S ribosomal RNA
Rfam family: Bacterial small subunit ribosomal RNA
Source: RNAcentral